GCCUUGAGAUCGGAGUGCUUGCACUCUGUGAAACAAGAUACAGGCUAGCGGCGGACGGGUGAGUAACACGUGGGUAACCUGCCCAAGAGAUCGGGAUAACACCUGGAAACAGAUGCUAAUACCGGAUAACAACAGAUGAUGCCUAUCAACUGUUUAAAAGAUGGUUCUGCUAUCACUCUUGGAUGGACCUGCGGUGCAUUAGCUAGUUGGUAGGGUAACGGCCUACCAAGGCGAUGAUGCAUAGCCGAGUUGAGAGACUGAUCGGCCACAUUGGGACUGAGACACGGCCCAAACUCCUACGGGAGGCAGCAGUAGGGAAUCUUCCACAAUGGACGCAAGUCUGAUGGAGCAACGCCGCGUGAGUGAAGAAGGGUUUCGGCUCGUAAAGCUCUGUUGUUGGUGAAGAAGGACAGGGGUAGUAACUGACCUUUGUUUGACGGUAAUCAAUUAGAAAGUCACGGCUAACUACGUGCCAGCAGCCGCGGUAAUACGUAGGUGGCAAGCGUUGUCCGGAUUUAUUGGGCGUAAAGCGAGUGCAGGCGGCUCGAUAAGUCUGAUGUGAAAGCCUUCGGCUCAACCGGAGAAUUGCAUCAGAAACUGUCGAGCUUGAGUACAGAAGAGGAGAGUGGAACUCCAUGUGUAGCGGUGAAAUGCGUAGAUAUAUGGAAGAACACCGGUGGCGAAGGCGGCUCUCUGGUCUGUUACUGACGCUGAGGCUCGAAAGCAUGGGUAGCGAACAGGAUUAGAUACCCUGGUAGUCCAUGCCGUAAACGAUGAGUGCUAAGUGUUGGGAGGUUUCCGCCUCUCAGUGCUGCAGCUAACGCAUUAAGCACUCCCCCU
RNAcentral lists this ribosomal RNA (840 nucleotides) under uncultured bacterium. Its description in RNAcentral is "bacterial SSU rRNA". It matches the Rfam family "Bacterial small subunit ribosomal RNA", at positions 61 to 874 of the family's 1533-position model. The record is from RNAcentral.